GAUAAUCACGUGACCGGUCAAUUCAUCCGGUGGUCGGAUGAUACAUCUUCGCUAAUCAAACUCCAAAACAACUAUGUGAUCACGUGACUUCUGGAUUUGAACUUAUUUCUUUAACAUUCUCUUUUGAUUUCGGAACUGCAAGACAACUAUGUAUGCUCAAACUAUCAUUAAAAUAAAUGCUAACGCA
Wasmannia auropunctata (little fire ant) is the source of this 187-nucleotide long non-coding RNA. RefSeq lists it as uncharacterized. Lineage: Eukaryota; Metazoa; Arthropoda; Insecta; Hymenoptera; Formicidae. The record is from RefSeq and is a predicted model, not a curated record. The transcript is spliced from 2 exons.